RNAcentral lists this ribosomal RNA (693 nucleotides) under uncultured bacterium. RNAcentral's name for it is "bacterial SSU rRNA". It matches the Rfam family "Bacterial small subunit ribosomal RNA", at positions 147 to 859 of the family's 1533-position model. The record is from RNAcentral.
CUCCGCUAACGCGGAGCUAAUACCGCAUAUGUUCGCUCUUUCGGUAGGGCGAGUAAAGCAGUAAUGCGCUUGGGGAUGGGCCUGCGGCGGAUUAGCUAGUUGGUGGGGUAACGGCCUACCAAGCCGAUGAUCCGUAGGGGGCGUGAGAGCGUGGCCCCCCACACUGGCACUGAGACACGGGCCAGACUCCUACGGGAGGCAGCAGUGAGGAAUAUUGCACAAUGGGCGCAAGCCUGAUGCAGCAACGCCGCGUGAGGGACGAAGGCCUUCGGGUUGUAAACCUCUUUUCUGAGGGACGAGGAAGGACGGUACCUCAGGAAUAAGUCUCGGCUAACUACGUGCCAGCAGCCGCGGUAAAACGUAGGAGGCGAGCGUUAUCCGGAUUUACUGGGCGUAAAGCGCGCGCAGGUGGCUUCGUGAGUCGGACAUGAAAGCUCCUGGCUUAACUGGGAGAGGCUGUUCGAUACUGCGGGGCUUGAGGUUGGGAGAGGGACGCGGAAUUCCCGGUGUAGUGGUGGAAUGCGUAGAUAUCGGGAGGAACACCAGUGGCGCAAGCGGCGUCCUGGCCCACACCUGACGCUGAGGUGCGAAAGCGUGGGUAGCAAACAGGAUUAGAUACCCUGGUAGUCCACGCUGUAAACGAUGUCAACUGGGUGUCGGUAGUUUUACACUAUCGGUGCCGAAGCUAACGCG